Molecule: ribosomal RNA, 440 nt
Filed under: uncultured bacterium
Lineage: Bacteria
Description: partial 16S ribosomal RNA
Rfam family: Bacterial small subunit ribosomal RNA
Source: RNAcentral
CCUACGGGUGGCUGCAGUGGGGGAUAUUGCACAAUGGGGGCAACCCUGAUGCAGCGACGCCGCGUGGAUGAAGAAGCGUCUCGGCGCGUAAAGCUCUGUUAGCAGGGAAGAAAACGACGGUACCCGAAGCAGACGCCCCGGCUAACACCGUGCCAGCAGCCGCGGUAAUACGGAGGGGGCAAGCGUUAUCCGGAUUUAUUGGGUGUAAUGGGGGCGUAGACGGCGAGGCAAGCCAGGAGUGAAAGCCCGGGGUCGAACCCCGGAACUGCUCUUGGAACUGCGUGGCUGGAGGGCAGUCGGGGCAGGCGGAAUGCCUGGUGUAGCGGUGAAAUGCGUAGAGAUCAGGAGGAACACCGGUGGCGAAGGCGGCCUGCUGGACUGCAACUGACGUUGAGGCCCGAAAGCGUGGGGAGCAAACAGGAUUAGAUACCCUUGUAGUC